CGGCGGACGGGUGAGUAAUGUACGGGGAUCUGCCUGAUGGCGGGGGAUAACUACUGGAAACGGUAGCUAAUACCGCAUAAUGUCUGCGGACCAAAGCGGGGGACCUCCGGGCCUCGCGCCAUCAGAUGAACCCAUAUGGGAUUAGCUAGUAGGUAAGGUAACGGCUUACCUAGGCGACGAUCCCUAGCUGGUCUGAGAGGAUGACCAGCCACACUGGAACUGAGACACGGCCCAG
This 235-nucleotide ribosomal RNA is filed under the name uncultured bacterium. Its description in RNAcentral is "partial 16S ribosomal RNA". It matches the Rfam family "Bacterial small subunit ribosomal RNA", at positions 96 to 334 of the family's 1533-position model. The record is from RNAcentral.